RNAcentral lists this ribosomal RNA (322 nucleotides) under uncultured eukaryote. Its description in RNAcentral is "partial 18S ribosomal RNA". It matches the Rfam family "Eukaryotic small subunit ribosomal RNA", at positions 1470 to 1796 of the family's 1831-position model. The record is from RNAcentral.
CCCUUAGAUGUUCUGGGCCGCACGCGCGCUACACUGAUGCGUUCAACAAGUUUCCUUGGCCGAGAGGCCUGGGCAAUCUUCUUAAUAUGUAUCGUGAUAGGGAUAGAUUAUUGCAAUUAUUAAUCUUGAACGAGGAAUUCCUAGUAAACGCAGAUCAUCAAUCUGCAUUGAUUACGUCCCUGCCCUUUGUACACACCGCCCGUCGCACCUACCGAUUGGAUGUUCCGGUGAAGCCUCGGGAUGAGGACUGGUGCCUUUAUUGGCAUGAGUUGUUCAGAACUUGUCUAAACCUUAUCAUCUAGAGGAAGGAGAAGUCGUAACA